RNAcentral lists this long non-coding RNA (461 nucleotides) under Carica papaya (papaya). RNAcentral describes it as "long non-coding RNA (CPAP_LNC008527)". The record is from RNAcentral. Lineage: Eukaryota; Viridiplantae; Streptophyta; Magnoliopsida; Brassicales; Caricaceae.
UUUAGACAUGAUCAGACGAACGAAAUAGAUCACAAUGGACGGUUCAGAUUCAUUCACGCCAUCAGCUUAAACAGGAAAUCAUCGAACAGUCCUCCUUGCUCCACGUUGACACAAACGAACGUCGUGGAUCAAAGAGGAUAGGAGUAUUUAAACUUCUCUUCGCAUGAGAACCUAAUCCUAGCCCUAGCCCUAGCCCUAGCCACCCAGUCAUUGCCGGAGAAGAAGAACCAGACGGUGAAGAAGGAAGCCGAACCCCCGCUGAUACUGUACCGGAGCUAACAUCGACUGUCAAAGAAGGUAAAAUUUUCUCCUCCCCGCUCGGAAUUCAAUUACGAGUUUUCCUGUCGCCAUAUCGGAUCAAAAGGGACAGUGGGUGAGACGGAAACCGCAAGCAAAGCUCGUUGGAGCCACCGCGGCCAAAACCCUAAACUCUCUUCGAUGACCCCUUCCUGUUUUCUGUU